UACGAAGGGUCCAAGCGUUGCUCGGAAUUAUUGGGCGUAAAGCGGGCGUAGGCGGCCUUGUAAGUCAGAAGUGAAAUCCCUGGGCUCAACCCAGGACGUGCUUUUGAUACUGCAAGGCUUGAGUAUGGGAGAGGGUAGUAGAAUUCCUGGUGUAGUGGUGAAAUACGUAGAUAUCAGGAGGAACACCGGUGGCGAAGGCGGCUACCUGGCCCAAUACUGACGCUCAGGCCCGAAAGCGUGGGGAGCAAACAGG
Molecule: ribosomal RNA, 253 nt
Filed under: uncultured bacterium
Lineage: Bacteria
Description: partial 16S ribosomal RNA
Rfam family: Bacterial small subunit ribosomal RNA
Source: RNAcentral